This 253-nucleotide ribosomal RNA is filed under the name uncultured bacterium. Its description in RNAcentral is "partial 16S ribosomal RNA". It matches the Rfam family "Bacterial small subunit ribosomal RNA", at positions 524 to 776 of the family's 1533-position model. The record is from RNAcentral.
UACGAACUGUGCAAACGUUAUUCGGAAUCACUGGGCUUAAAGGGUGCGUAGGCGGCUAUCUAAGCAGGGUGUGAAAGCCCCCGGCUCAACCGGGGAAUUGCGUUCUGAACUGGAUGGCUGGAGUGAGAUAGGGGUGUGUGGAACUUCCGGUGGAGCGGUGAAAUGUGUUGAUAUCGGAAGGAACGCCGGUGGCGAAAGCGACACACUGGGUCUCAACUGACGCUGAAGCACGAAAGCCAGGGGAGCGAACGGG